CUAUAUUGCAGUACUGCAUAUAUACAGUACUGCAGUAUUGCAACCAGCUCAUUUAACUCAUUCAACUCAGCCCUUUCAACCUUGUGUAAUUCUGUCAUUAAUGGGCCAAUUUGAUUUAGGAAGCUGCAAUUAUACGGACGUGUGUAGUCUGUUGCCGCCUCAGCCCUAUCCGAAACCCUUUCAGUAACAGUCCAUUCCCUGUACUUGUCCAUUUCCGGCUGUAAAAGCACUGAAUUACUGAUCUUUAUUGCAACGUACAACGUCAAGGAUUUGCCGGUGAUGAUCACCACACCAUCCAAACAAAUUUCUUCCUGGCUUGAUAAAAAAUAGUUAAAGAUCCCUAAUAGAGGAGAACAUAUCGGUAAUAAUCCACCGUCGGCAUCUCACACCGAGGCACUUUCUGUGUCCGCAUGGCCAACUCCACUUUACCGAUGGCCACCUGGAAAACACUCACAUUUCGAAAAACAAGGUCCAGACCAGAAAGGAUAGACGUCGGAUCAGAGGAAGUCAAACGCUAUAGCCCGUCGGCCGUAAAAGGCUUUGCGUCACAGAUAAUAACAGCAUCGACAUUUUCUAAAAUAUAAUCAAACCCACCGUUGUUGUGGCCAUAUCCAAAGCAAAAUAAUCCCAUUAGCUGCCGGCGCCAUCACGCACAUGGGGUUCGUGCCCAAGGCUAACUACAAAUUAUAAUCACCAACAACACCAUAAUUUUACCACUGCUGCUACUGUACUUGCUCCAAGAAUUGCCAGCGCUGGCGGAGUCCCAGCUUUGCCAGACAUCGGCAAUUUUAGAACACAAAGUAACGCUGGGAAACAAUGAAUUUGAAAAGAAUUCGGAAUAGAAUUCGAAGUU
This is a long non-coding RNA of Paramacrobiotus metropolitanus, 853 nucleotides long. RefSeq lists it as uncharacterized. The record is from RefSeq and is a predicted model, not a curated record. The transcript is spliced from 4 exons. Lineage: Eukaryota; Metazoa; Tardigrada; Eutardigrada; Parachela; Macrobiotidae.